This 774-nucleotide ribosomal RNA is filed under the name uncultured Neocallimastigales. RNAcentral's name for it is "partial large subunit ribosomal RNA". It matches the Rfam family "Eukaryotic large subunit ribosomal RNA", at positions 24 to 645 of the family's 3401-position model. Lineage: Eukaryota; Fungi; Neocallimastigomycota; Neocallimastigomycetes; Neocallimastigales. The record is from RNAcentral.
UAUGUGAUCGUCUCUCGCAUAUCAAUAAGCGGAGGAAAAGAAACUAACAAGGAUUCCCCUAGUAACGGCGAGUGAAGCGGGAAGAGCUCAAAUUUGAAAUCUUAAAGGGUUUCCCUUUACGAAUUGUAGUUUAAAGAAGUGUUUUCUGUUGAGGUUUUGGUAAAAGUUCUUUGGAAUAGGACAUCAUAGAGGGUGAGAAUCCCGUAUUCGACCUUUACUUUCAACUUUGUGAUACACUUUCAAAGAGUCGGAUUGUUUGGGAAUGCAGUCCAAAAUGGGUGGUAAAUUUCAUCUAAAGCUAAAUAUUGGCGAGAGACCGAUAGCGAACAAGUACCGUGAGGGAAAGAUGAAAAGAACUUUGAAAAGAGAGUUAAACAGUACGUGAAAUUGUCAAAAGGGAAGCGUUUGACACCAGUGUUGUUUUUCUGAAAAUCAAUUAAAGAACUGUUUAUGCUAAGUUGUUUAGACUUUAUCAGCUAUCUGUUUAGUUUUGAGCUUUUCUUUAAUGCACUUUUCAGUUAACAAGUCAACAUCAAUUUCUUUUGCUGUAAAAAAGCUUGAGGAAGGUGGCUUGAGAUUCGUCUUAAGUGUUUAUAGCCUCUUGCCUAUGCAGUCGGAGAGAUUGAGGCCUGCAGCGUAGAUCCUUCGGGGCUAAAUGCAUUUGUGCUAAGUUAUAACAUUUUAUAGACAACUUGUUGACUAUGAUUUGUCUUGUAGCUUACUCGCUUAUGUUAUUUUACCUACGCUUAGGAUGUUGAAGUCAUCGUAUCGCGC